RNAcentral lists this ribosomal RNA (274 nucleotides) under uncultured bacterium. RNAcentral describes it as "partial 16S ribosomal RNA". It matches the Rfam family "Bacterial small subunit ribosomal RNA", at positions 523 to 796 of the family's 1533-position model. The record is from RNAcentral.
AUACAGAGGGUGCGAGCGUUAAUCGGAAUUACUGGGCGUAAAGCGCGCGUAGGCGGUUAUUUAAGUCAGAUGUGAAAUCCCUGGGCUCAACCUAGGAACUGCAUCUGAAACUGGGUAACUAGAGUUUAGGAGAGGGGAGUAGAAUUUCGGGUGUAGCGGUGAAAUGCAUAGAGAUCCGAAGGAAUACCAGUGGCGAAGGCGACUCCCUGGCCUAGAACUGACGCUGAGGUGCGAAAGCGUGGGUAGCAAACGGGAUUAGAAACCCGAGUAGUCC